AGUAAAUCUCCUACAAAUUGGCAAUAAAUUAGGGUUUACAUAUACUUUAAUUUUGUAAUUUUUAGUAAGAGGACUUAUUCUUCCAUAUUUUACAUGAACAUGCAAUGGUCAUAUUUGAGUGGAAGCCAGUUAGUUUACCAUUAUAUUUUUUGGAUUGCAUGGGAUAAAAGUGGAAUUCCUGCUAGUCUUAAAAAUGUUCCCUUCCCCCUCCUGCUAUCUAUGCUGCCUACCCUUUGUAAAAAUUGCAGGAGCGGUGACUUUACUCGUAGGCUCCCAUAGCACUGUCGUUCUUUCCUUUCCUCUGCAGCCGGCUGCUUACUGACACAGGGGAGCCAGAGCUGCGGGAUCACAUGACUGGACCGAAGCGUGUUGAAAAAAGGCCUACCCUGCCUAUCCUUUGUAAAAAAAAAAAAAAAAAAUAAGGAUCUGUAGACUUUCUUUUUUUUUUUUCUUUUUAAGUCCGUUCACGUAAUCCCGCAGCUCCGGCUUCCUUUGUCCGCUCCAGCUCCCCUGAGUGCUCAACUAUAGCAGAGAAUUCCAGGAGUGGUGACUUCACUCCAGGGCUCCCAUGGCCCUGCCCCUCCUUCCUCUCCCCUGCAGCUGGCCGGUCACUGACACAGGGGAGUCGGAGCUGUGGGAUCAUGUGACUGGACCUCAGCGGGCUGAAAAAGGUAAGUAUUCAGAUCUUUUUUACAUAGGAUAGGUCGCAGGAGGGGAGGAGACCUAUAAUAAAAUGGUUAUGGUUAGGCAAGAAUUUCACAUUAAGUCUACCUAUCUGCUGCUUUCUGUUAUUUCCUUCAGAACAAGUUGCCUCUGAAAACAAAUCGUGUUUUCUGCUUUGCAGUCGAGGCAUCUUCACCCCCUGUUUGACUGGCUCUCUCCAAAGCCUGGUUAGCUGUGCCAAUAACUGGCUUACCAAGCUUUUCCUGACCUCUUGCAGCUGUCAGAAAUGAUCCUGGGUAGACACCGCAUGCGUCUGUAGCUGGGUGUAGAACCUCAUUGAAAGGGAAUCUACCUUAUAUUUUCAGAAAGUAUUCAAGUUGAGCCAUAGAUGUAAAGUUUACGUGAAAGUAAUAAUUGAUAUGACUUUUUGGAUUUUAGUCACAUGCUGUGGCAUGCGUCCAUGUUUAUAUAGAUACAUAUGCAUAAAAGACAAAGCAGUCAGCAUUACUGCUGAAUUAUUGCUUUAAAAUGAACUUGUGCCUAGACUAUGCAUAUUUAAGUAAUUACAUAUUCUGAAAAAGCAGUAAAAACACUUUAAAACCUGUCCUGUUUCGCCUCAUACCGAGGCACUGAGAGCUUAUUUUGCCUUUAAUUUCUAUGGCACGCUCUCAACCUUUUAAUGUUAACACCCAGCAGGUGUCCCUAAGCCAGCCAUUCUCAAUUAGGAAUCUUUGGCGCCCUCAUGUUCCUUGAGCUGUGGCUGAUUGCCUUUUCAUUUAGAGAUGUUAAAGAUGCCUUCAUAGUUCCAGGGCCAACGCUACUUGGCAAAACAAACAACAUUACCCAAUUAUCUUUUAGGCUGUCUGUAAGGUUGGCAUUCUUAAUGACCACCAAUGUAGGGUAGGCUUUCUUGCCACUAACCACCAAUAUAAUGUAAGGUAGGCAUUCUUCCCAAUGACUGCUAAUGUAAGGUAGGAUUUCUUGCCACUGACCAUCAAUGCAAGGUAGGCUUUCUUGCCACUGUUUAUCAAUGUAAGGAAUGCCUUCUUACCACUGACCACAAAUGUAUGGUAGAAAUUCUUACCAACGAUCAUCAAGGUAAGGUUUUCUUAUCACUAGCCACCAGUGUAAGGUAGGCAAUCUUCCCAAUGACUGCCAAUGUAAGGUAGACUUUCUUACUACUGACGACCGAUGUAAGAUAGGCAUUCUUCUUAAUGACCGCCUAUGGAAGGUAGACUUUUUUGCCACUGACCAUCAAUGUAAGGUAUGCUUUCUCACCACUAACCACCAAUGUAUGGUAGGCAUUCUUCCCAACGACCAUCAAUAUAAGCUAGGCUUUCUUACCACUAACCUCCAAUGUAAGCUAUGCAAUCUUCCCAAUGACCAUCAAGGCAAGGUAGGCUUUCUUACCACUAACCUCCAAUGUAAGGUAUGGUUUCUUACCACUGACCUCCAAUGUAAGGUAGGCAUUCUUCCCAAAGACCAUCAAUGAAAUGUAGGCUUUCUUACCACUGGCCACCACUGUAAGGCAGACAUUCUUCCCAAUCACUAUCAAUGUAAGGUAGGCUUUCUUGCCAAUGACCACUGCCUGCCAGUGUAAGGUAGGCAUUCCUCCCACUGACCACCAAUGUAAGAGCCAUGUUUCUCAUUGACCCCGAUAUAUUGGUAUGAUAUAUAAGGGUUCCCUAUGGCCUGACAAUUGUUUUAGAGGUUCCUCUGGUUGUAAAAAAGGUAUAGAAAGGCUGUUCUAAGCUUUAUAAACCAGUUUAAACUGACUUUAUUGAUCUUUGACCAUGAAUAACUUCACAGUACAAACAACUAAAUAGGUUAGGGCUUGUUUUUAAAGCUGUUUUACUGCUUGUUAGGAAUAUAUAAAUGAUUUUAAUGCCUAUAGUCUGGGUACAGGUGCACUUUAAAAUCGGUUACGCUAGAAGUCACCCAAGGAGUAUAUUGUUUUAUUGGAAGAUUGAAUUCUUUCCAUAGCACAAUGACUGUGCCGUGCUACUAAGGAAGCACUGUGUGUACAAUAUAUGUAAUGAGUAAAUGUGACUGCACCUAUGUACAUUCAUAUAUCUAUACAUAGAAACAACUUGAAACAUUCACACGAUAGGCACAAAGACACAUUUACAUGAAGCUGAUUUACAUUUACAAAUAGAGAUUUGGUAAAAAUCUAACGGUUUUAGUCAUGAUGACUUGACGGUUCCCAUUGUUGGGUUGAGCUCCAUUGUAGCACAACCAAUUCCAUUUUUAUAGCUUAUGACAAAAAAAAAAAAAAAAAAA
This is a long non-coding RNA of Rana temporaria (common frog), 2943 nucleotides long. RefSeq lists it as uncharacterized. The transcript has 2 exons. Lineage: Eukaryota; Metazoa; Chordata; Amphibia; Anura; Ranidae. The record is from RefSeq and is a predicted model, not a curated record.